Molecule: ribosomal RNA, 253 nt
Filed under: uncultured bacterium
Lineage: Bacteria
Description: partial 16S ribosomal RNA
Rfam family: Bacterial small subunit ribosomal RNA
Source: RNAcentral
UACAGAGGGUGCGAGCGUUAAUCGGAAUUACUGGGCGUAAAGCGUGCGUAGACGGUUUCGUAAGUCGGGUGUGAAAGCCCCGGGCUCAACCUGGGAAUUGCAUUCGAGACUGCGUAGCUAGGGUGCGGAAGAGGGAAGCGGAAUUUCCGGUGUAGCGGUGAAAUGCGUAGAUAUCGGAAGGAACAUCAGUGGCGAAAGCGGCUUCCUGGUCCAGCACCGACGUUCAGGCACGAAAGCAUGGGGAGCAAACAGG